RNAcentral lists this transfer RNA (65 nucleotides) under Coleoptera sp. ACP-2013. Its description in RNAcentral is "tRNA-Pro". The record is from RNAcentral. Lineage: Eukaryota; Metazoa; Arthropoda; Insecta; Coleoptera.
AGAUAUUAGUUUUAUUUAAAAUUUUAAUUUUGGAGAUUAAAGAUAAUUAAUUUAUUAUAUCUGAA